UACAGAGGGUGCAAGCGUUGUUCGGAAUUAUUGGGCGUAAAGGGCGCGUAGGCGGUGCGGUAAGUCUGCAGUGAAAUCUCUGGGCUCAACUCAGAGUCUGCUGUAGAAACUGCCGUGCUUGAGUGAUGGGAGAGGUGAGUGGAAUUCCGGUGUAGCGGUGAAAUGCGUAGAUAUCGGAAGGAACACCUGUGGCGAAAGCGGCUCACUGGGACCACUAACU
Molecule: ribosomal RNA, 220 nt
Filed under: uncultured bacterium
Lineage: Bacteria
Description: partial 16S ribosomal RNA
Rfam family: Bacterial small subunit ribosomal RNA
Source: RNAcentral